This is a long non-coding RNA of Pogoniulus pusillus (Red-fronted tinkerbird), 1615 nucleotides long. RefSeq lists it as uncharacterized. The transcript has 3 exons. NCBI's taxonomy places the organism in Eukaryota, Metazoa, Chordata, Aves, Piciformes, Lybiidae. The record is from RefSeq and is a predicted model, not a curated record.
AAAGAGGAGCAGCAGGAAGUGUAAUGCUCCCAGCAAGACCAGCUGCACCUAGAGCCCACACUGAGAUGAGGGGAGCUCCUUCCCAGGCUUGCAGCACAGGUGCUGCCUCACAACAAACUUUGUUUCCCAGGCGAAUGGCUUCCUGAGCAGACAGGAUAAAUAAAAGGUGAUGUGUCAGACUGUGCUUUCUCUCCAGAAAUUGGAAAGGAUGGCUUUUAAAGUUGUGCUGAAGGCAGCAGUGACGCUACCACUUGCCUACAGUGACUCCUUCACUGGAUUUUACCUAAUAUGUUAUCCUGCAGGAUAUGUAUUCCCUAAUGUGCCCACCACCUCUCCUGCUGGGAAUGGAAAUAUGCCUGUCUUUCAGCAGACAUUCUAUUCUCUCCUGACCAUCCUGGUGGACCUUCUCUGCAAGUCUUUCCCAGCCCUUCUUAUCGUUUCACCUGACAGUUUUCAUUUGGGAAAAGCUCCCUGCUUUGUUGAGUUUGGGAUUUUUUGGCAACAUUGCCUGAAAUGUUCAAAUCUGCUGGAAAAGUUGGAGUUCUGCUGCGACACUUCCUGGGCUGCUUGCCUGGAAGGAUCAUCUUAAUCUCACAUUCUCCCUGUGGGGAAAGAAGGGAGCUGACAAGACCUGGGGAGGGAGAGGAGUUGGCAGUGGCAGCAGGGCAGUUGGAGGAAGUCUGCAACAGAGUGUGAGAGAAGAGGAGGAGGAGGAAGAGGAGGGUCUGCCAGCAGUCCCCCCAGCAGCCAGCUUGGCAGACGUCUGCCAGCCUCAUUGGAAGAGAAGACCUUCAUGAAAAUCUUCUAAGUCCUCAACUGGCAUGAUAAAGGAAAAGAAACAGAAGAAUCAAUCUAUUUUGGUCUCCUUUAAAACAGCCAGAGACUCACUCAGCACUGCUGAUGCAGAAGAUGACACCAUCUUUAUCUGGAACAGUUUUCCAUGAGACUGUUUUAUCCCCAUUUCCAAACAAAAUUCUUUUCAUCCAUGCCCAGUUUGCUCCUCUCUCUUUACACAAUUUUUUUCAGUUUCCUUAUUUGUCCUUUAUAUUCUAACCUUGUAUUAAAACAUCUUUCUCUCUCUUGCCUGCUGGCAAAGCACAGGUUAUUUUUAUUUCUCCCAGAGGUGCAAAGCACAGACUAGCACAGUCCAAAGCAUCAUUUCUUCUGCCUUGUUUGCUUCUCUAACCACAGUUCAAGUGGCUCCAGGGCAACAGUCUCCAGACCCCGUAGCCUGGGCAGUGUUGUUACCUGUUACCUCCAGAUUUAUUACUCACAAACACACUGUGAGACCUUGUGCUAGCUCAAGCAAUGUGUCCAUGUUGCUGAGAGCACUUUUCUGUGCUGCUGGAUCACCAAGCUUUGGAUGAGGUAGGGACAUCCAAACACUUUGGACAAGGUGUAAAGUUUCCCAAAGCCCCCCCCAAAAAAACCACACUGUCCGUUUUGUAGCUGUGUGCAUUCUCUGCAACAUUCUUCCCUUUCUCCUUCACAGGGCCAGAUUUAAAUAAAAAAACAGCAUUUUUUUAUUUGUUGUUUUUUUUUCUUGCCAAGAACCUUGUCACCAAGAAAAGAGCUGGAGACUUCCUUCUUCCUGGCCAUAAAGACUGACUUGUUU